CAGCAGCCGCGGUAAUACGAGGGGGGCAAGCGUUGUUCGGAAUUAUUGGGCGUAAAGGGUGCGUAGGCGGUUUGAUUAGUCAUCUGUGAAAUCUCUGGGCUCAACCCAGAGUCUGCAGGCGAAACUGUCGGGCUUGAGUAUGGGAGAGGUGAGUGGAAUUUCCGGUGUAGCGGUGAAAUGCGUAGAUAUCGGAAGGAACACCUGUGGUGAAAGCGGCUCACUGGACCAUAACUGACGCUGAUGCACGAAAGCUAGGGGAGCAAACAGGAUUAGAUACCCCCGUAGUCCCUGUCUCUUAUAC
This 301-nucleotide ribosomal RNA is filed under the name uncultured bacterium. RNAcentral's name for it is "partial 16S ribosomal RNA". It matches the Rfam family "Bacterial small subunit ribosomal RNA", at positions 509 to 807 of the family's 1533-position model. The record is from RNAcentral.